Molecule: long non-coding RNA, 601 nt
Filed under: Homo sapiens (human)
Lineage: Eukaryota; Metazoa; Chordata; Mammalia; Primates; Hominidae
Description: HSALNT0312902
Source: RNAcentral
CUGCUUUUGCUUCUAUCAAAAUCCCAAGUUAGACAGAAAAAGAUGAAGGUUGACAUAAAUGGUGCCCAGAGAAUGAUGUGAAACAAAUCACUCUGGGAAGGAAUCAGCGAUUUUUAGAACUGAUGUGCAAUAUUCUCUUGAGCUCUUUGAGCUCUCUGUUUCCACAUUUCACCUCUUCUGCCCUGGGUCUUGCUCUGUCACGCAGGGUGAAAUGCAGUGGAACCAUCAUGACUCACUACAGCUUCAGCCUCCCAGACUCAAGUGAUCCUCCCACCUCAGCUUGUUGAGUAGAUGGGACUACAGAUGCACAUCACCAUGCCCAGCUAACUUUUUAUUUUUUGCAGAAGCAGGAUCUCACCAUAUUUUCCAGGCUGGUAUCUAACUUCUGGGCUCAAGUGAUCUACCUAACUUGGCCUCCCAAAGUGCUGGAUUAUAGGCAUGAACCACCAUGACCUGAUGAAAGAAAUUUUUUUAAACCAAACUGUUUUACCCAAAAUUUUAAUCCAGAGCUUUCAUUAGAUGACAUAUCAGAGAAAAUAAAGUUGAGCCAUAUAAACAUGUCUCUUUUAGCCAGAAAUAUAAUUUAGAUUCAAUACUCUUU